This 253-nucleotide ribosomal RNA is filed under the name uncultured bacterium. Its description in RNAcentral is "partial 16S ribosomal RNA". It matches the Rfam family "Bacterial small subunit ribosomal RNA", at positions 524 to 776 of the family's 1533-position model. The record is from RNAcentral.
UACGUAGGGGGCAAGCGUUGUCCGGAAUCACUGGGCUUAAAGCGCGUGUAGGCGGGUCGUUAAGUGUCUUGUGAAAUCCCACGGCUCAACCGUGGAACUGCUGGGCAUACUGACGAUCUUGAGGCACUCAGGGGCUGUCGGAACAAAUGGUGGAGCGGUGAAAUGCGUAGAUAUCAUUUGGAACGCCAACGGUGAAAACAGACAGCUGGGGGUGUCCUGACGCUGAGACGCGAAAGCCAGGGGAGCGAACGGG